GCUGGCGGUAGGCUUAACACAUGCAAGUCGUGCGAGAAAGUAUCUUCGGAUAUGAGUAGAGCGGCGGACGGGUGAGUAACGCGUAGGAAUCUACCUAGUAGAAGGGGAUAGCCCGGGGAAACUCGGAUUAAUACCGUAUACCUCCUUCGGGAGAAAGAAGGCCUCUCUUUGAAGCUUUCGCUACUAGAUGAGCCUGCGUAAGAUUAGCUUGUUGGUGAGGUAAAGGCUCACCAAGGCGACGAUCUUUAGCGGGUCUGAGAGGACGAUCCGCCACAUUGGGACUGAGACACGGCCCAGACUCCUACGGGAGGCAGCAGUGG
This 320-nucleotide ribosomal RNA is filed under the name uncultured Pseudomonadota bacterium. Its description in RNAcentral is "bacterial SSU rRNA". It matches the Rfam family "Bacterial small subunit ribosomal RNA", at positions 35 to 357 of the family's 1533-position model. The record is from RNAcentral. Lineage: Bacteria; Pseudomonadati; Pseudomonadota.